This 245-nucleotide ribosomal RNA is filed under the name uncultured Mycobacterium sp. RNAcentral describes it as "partial 16S ribosomal RNA". It matches the Rfam family "Bacterial small subunit ribosomal RNA", at positions 524 to 768 of the family's 1533-position model. Lineage: Bacteria; Bacillati; Actinomycetota; Actinomycetes; Mycobacteriales; Mycobacteriaceae. The record is from RNAcentral.
UACGUAGGGUGCGAGCGUUGUCCGGAAUUACUGGGCGUAAAGAGCUCGUAGGUGGUUUGUCGCGUUGUUCGUGAAAACCGGGGGCUUAACCCUCGGCGUGCGGGCGAUACGGGCAGACUGGAGUACUGCAGGGGAGACUGGAAUUCCUGGUGUAGCGGUGGAAUGCGCAGAUAUCAGGAGGAACACCGGUGGCGAAGGCGGGUCUCUGGGCAGUAACUGACGCUGAGGAGCGAAAGCGUGGGGAG